AGAGUUUGAUCCUGGCUCAGGAUAAACGCUGGCGGCGUGCCUAACACAUGCAAGUCGAACGACCUGCGGCUCGCAAGAGUAGCAGGUAGUGGCGGACGGGUGAGUAACACAUGGGUGACCUACCCCGCAGUGAGGGAUACCGGCGCGAAAGCGCCGACAAGCCCGCAUGCGCUCGUUGUGCGCGAGCAGAGCGAGCAAAGGCUCUGGGUGGCUUGCAAAAGCCAGGCAGAGCCGCUGGGGGAUGGGCCUGUGGCCGAUUAGCUGGUUGGUGGGGUAAGAGCCUACCAAGGCUGCGAUCGGUAGCUGGUCUGAGAGGACGAUCAGCCACACUGGGAUUGAGAACGGCCCAGACUCCUACGGGGGGCAGCAGUGAGGAAUUUUCCGCAAUGGAGGCAACUCUGACGGAGCAACGCCGCGUGCAGGAAGACGCUUCUCGGAGUGUAAACUGCUUUUCUGUGGGACGAGUUAAGGACGGUACCACAGGAAGAAGCCCCGGCUAACUACGUGCCAGCAGCCGCGGUAAUACGUAGGGUGCGAGCGUUAAUCGGAAUUACUGGGCGUAAAGCGUGCGUAGGCGGUCCCCCAAGUCCGCUGUGAAAGCCCCGGGCUUAACCUGGGAAUGGCAGUGGAAACUAUGGGACUUGAAUCUGGCAGAGGGGGGUGGAAUGCCACGUGUAGCAGUGAAAUGCGUAGAGAUGUGGCGGAACACCGAUGGCGAAGGCAGCCCCCUGGGCUGAGAUUGACGCUCAGGCACGAAAGCGUGGGGAGCAAACAGGAUUAGAUACCCUGGUAGUCCACGCCCUAAACGAUGACAACUAGGUGUUGGGGAAGCGAUUUCUCAGUACCGCAGCUAACGCGUGAAGUUGUCCGCCUGGGGAGUACGGUCGCAAGACUAAAACUCAAAGGAAUUGACGGGGACCCGCACAAGCGGUGGAUGAUGUGGAUUAAUUCGAUGCAACGCGAAGAACCUUACCUACCCUUGACAUGUACGGAAGCCCGCUGAGAGGCGGGUGUGCCCGAAAGGGAGCCGUAACGCAGGUGCUGCAUGGCUGUCGUCAGCUCGUGUCGUGAGAUGUUGGGUUAAGUCCCGCAACGAGCGCAACCCUUGUCCCUAGUUGCUACGCAAGGGCACUCUAGGGAGACUGCCGGUGACAAACCGGAGGAAGGUGGGGAUGACGUCAAGUCCUCAUGGCCCUUAUGGGUAGGGCCUCACACGUCAUACAAUGGCCGGUACAGAGGGUUGCGAAGCCGCGAGGUGGAGCCAAUCCCAGAAAGCCGGUCGUAGUCCGGAUUGCAGUCUGCAACUCGACUGCAUGAAGUCGGAAUCGCUAGUAAUCGCGGAUCAGCAUGUCGCGGUGAAUACGUUCCCGGGUCUUGUACACACCGCCCGUCACACCAUGGGAGUGGGGUGCACCGGAAGUAGGUAGGCUAACCGCAAGGAGGCCGCUUACCACGGUACACUUCAUGACUGGGGUGAAGUCGUAACAAGGUAACCGU
RNAcentral lists this ribosomal RNA (1497 nucleotides) under uncultured Rhodocyclaceae bacterium. RNAcentral's name for it is "partial 16S ribosomal RNA". It matches the Rfam family "Bacterial small subunit ribosomal RNA". Lineage: Bacteria; Pseudomonadati; Pseudomonadota; Betaproteobacteria; Rhodocyclales; Rhodocyclaceae. The record is from RNAcentral.